Molecule: unclassified non-coding RNA, 205 nt
Filed under: soil metagenome
Description: partial contains 5.8S ribosomal RNA, internal transcribed spacer 2, and large subunit ribosomal RNA
Source: RNAcentral
AACGCACGAGACCUGCGGACCUGCGGAGGGAUCAUUAUAGAGUUUUUAACUCCCAAACCCAUGUGAACUUACCUUUGUUGCCUCGGCGGAGCCUACCCGGUACCUACCCUGUAGCGCCCCGCCGGUGGACUUCUAAACUAUUGUUAUUUUAAUGAUAUCUGAGAGUCUUAUUUUAAUAAGUCAAAACUUUUAACAACGGAUCUCU